RNAcentral lists this ribosomal RNA (223 nucleotides) under uncultured bacterium. Its description in RNAcentral is "partial 16S ribosomal RNA". It matches the Rfam family "Bacterial small subunit ribosomal RNA", at positions 118 to 340 of the family's 1533-position model. The record is from RNAcentral.
UGAGCAAUCUGCCCUUCACAUCGGAAUAACCAUUGGAAACGAUGGCUAAUACCGAAUAUGACUUCGGAUCGCAUGAUCUGAAGUGGAAAGCUCCGGCGGUGAAGGAUGAGCCCGCGGCCUAUCAGCUUGUUGGUGAGGUAAUAGCUCACCAAGGCGAUGGACGGGUAGCCGGCCUGAGAGGGUGACCGGCCACACGUGGGACUGAGACACGGCCCAGACUCCG